GAACAGUGUGGGAACAGUCCUGCGUGUGGGAAUGGCAACAUCUCCACAGAGGCUGUGCUGUGAUUGGUGGUGGUUUCUAACAUAUUGGCUGCAAAUACGCAGCCAUUGUAUGGCAGGAAAGAGUUCCUGGAGAGAGAAGACAAAGACGGUGUGUGUUGCAAAAGGAAGCCCCAGGCUCAAGACUGGAGAACUGAAUGUGCAACUUGCAAGGGUACUGGAGACAAUGAAAAUCAUGUGA
This 238-nucleotide long non-coding RNA is filed under the name Aotus nancymaae (Ma's night monkey). RNAcentral describes it as "lncRNA (ENSANAG00000039009.1)". The record is from RNAcentral. Lineage: Eukaryota; Metazoa; Chordata; Mammalia; Primates; Aotidae.